This 244-nucleotide ribosomal RNA is filed under the name uncultured bacterium. Its description in RNAcentral is "partial small subunit ribosomal RNA". It matches the Rfam family "Bacterial small subunit ribosomal RNA", at positions 26 to 285 of the family's 1533-position model. The record is from RNAcentral.
AGAAUCAACGCUGGCGGCGUGCCUAACACAUGCAAGUCGAACGAGAAAGUGGAGCAAUCCAUGAGUAAAGUGGCGACCGGGUGAGUAACACGUGACUAACCUACCUUCGAGUGGGGGAUAACCUCGGGAAACCGGGGCUAAUACCGCAUAAUAUCCACGGAUCAAAGGAGCAAUUCGCUUGAAGAGGGGGUCGCGGCUGAUUAGUUAGUUGGCGGGGUAAUGGCCCACAAGACAAUGAUCGGUA